This 465-nucleotide ribosomal RNA is filed under the name Vreelandella stevensii. RNAcentral's name for it is "partial 16S ribosomal RNA". It matches the Rfam family "Bacterial small subunit ribosomal RNA", at positions 338 to 795 of the family's 1533-position model. Lineage: Bacteria; Pseudomonadati; Pseudomonadota; Gammaproteobacteria; Oceanospirillales; Halomonadaceae. The record is from RNAcentral.
CCUACGGGAGGCUGCUGUGGGGAAUAUUGGACAAUGGGCGAAAGCCUGAUCCAGCCAUGCCGCGUGUGUGAAGAAGGCCUUCGGGUUGUAAAGCACUUUCAGUGGGGAAGAAAGCCUUGGGGCUAAUACCCUCGAGGAAGGACAUCACCCACAGAAGAAGCACCGGCUAACUCCGUGCCAGCAGCCGCGGUAAUACGGAGGGUGCGAGCGUUAAUCGGAAUUACUGGGCGUAAAGCGCGCGUAGGCGGUCUGAUAAGCCGGUUGUGAAAGCCCCGGGCUCAACCUGGGAACGGCAUCCGGAACUGUCAGGCUAGAGUGCAGGAGAGGAAGGUAGAAUUCCCGGUGUAGCGGUGAAAUGCGUAGAGAUCGGGAGGAAUACCAGUGGCGAAGGCGGCCUUCUGGACUGACACUGACGCUGAGGUGCGAAAGCGUGGGUAGCAAACAGGAUUAGAUACCCCAGUAGUC